GCGCACCAGGCGAGAAACUUUACAAUGUGCGAAAGCACGAUAAGGGAACUCUGAGUGCCUCCUAAGGAGGCUGUUCUGAUGUCUAAAAGCAACAGAAGUAAGGGCUGGGUAAGACCGGUGCCAGCCGCCGCGGUAACACCGGCAGCCCAAGUGGUAGCCACGUUUAUUGGGUCUAAAGCGUUCGUAGCCGGCCAGGUAAGUUCCUUGGUAAAUUUAGCCGCUUAACGGUUAAGCUUUCAGGGAAUACUGCUUGGCUUGGGACUGGGAGAGGUCAGAGGUACUCCGGGGGUAGGGGUGAAAUCUAUUAAUCCCUGGGGGACCACCGGUAGCGAAGGCGUCUGACCAGACCAGGUCCGACGGUGAGGGACGAAGGCUAGGGGCGCGAACCGGAUUAGAUACCCGUGUAGUCCCCUGAGACCCA
Molecule: ribosomal RNA, 421 nt
Filed under: uncultured microorganism
Description: bacterial SSU rRNA
Rfam family: Archaeal small subunit ribosomal RNA
Source: RNAcentral